Encephalitozoon intestinalis ATCC 50506 is the source of this 118-nucleotide non-coding RNA. Lineage: Eukaryota; Fungi; Microsporidia; Unikaryonidae. The record is from RefSeq and is a predicted model, not a curated record.
UCCUUACGCAGGAGGCCUCUAUCGAUGACGUUCAUACGGAGAUAGAGAGAUUGCUAGAUUGGAAACCCAAACGAUUGCAAUUCUAAGUCUCGUGUCUUUCGUGGCAUGAGCACCCUCU